CUCUCAUGGAAUGUAAAUGUAUUGUAGACAGGAUCCACAGGUCAGGGCUGGCAGCUAGUAAGCAUAAAUGAUAAUCCAAAAUAGAGGUACAAAGCUAGAGAGUCAGGAAUUGAUAGAAUGCCACUAGUACCUGAAACAAAAACGGACCCUGAAGUUGAUGAGAAGCAUGGCUUUAAAACCAGUUAAGCGAGCCACUGAUGAGGCAAAUAGCUACAGGUGGGUCAGUAGGAGUCCAGGCCCCCCAGAGAUUCAUGCUAAACACUAUAACAAACUGAUAGGUGUCAAACUGCAG
Pelobates cultripes (western spadefoot toad) is the source of this 292-nucleotide non-coding RNA. Lineage: Eukaryota; Metazoa; Chordata; Amphibia; Anura; Pelobatidae. The record is from the annotation of a GenBank genome assembly.